RNAcentral lists this ribosomal RNA (253 nucleotides) under uncultured bacterium. RNAcentral's name for it is "partial 16S ribosomal RNA". It matches the Rfam family "Bacterial small subunit ribosomal RNA", at positions 524 to 776 of the family's 1533-position model. The record is from RNAcentral.
UACGGAGGGGGCGAGCGUUAUUCGGAAUUAUUGGGCGUAAAGGGCGCGUAGGCGGCCCGGUAAGUCAAAGGUGAAAUCCCUCGGCUCAACUGAGGAACUGCCUUUGAAACUGUCGGGCUUGAGGCCGGGAGGGGGUAGCGGAAUUCCCAGUGUAGCGGUGAAAUGCGUAGAUACUGGGAGGAACACCAGUGGCGAAGGCGGCUACCUGGACCGGUUCUGACGCUGAGGCGCGAAAGCGUGGGGAGCGAUCCGG